This 23-nucleotide microRNA is filed under the name Caenorhabditis briggsae. RNAcentral's name for it is "Cbr-Mir-36-o21_5p* (star (passenger))". Lineage: Eukaryota; Metazoa; Nematoda; Chromadorea; Rhabditida; Rhabditidae. The record is from RNAcentral.
AACUGGUUCUCACUGCAGUGAUA